UACGUAGGUGACAAGCGUUGUCCGGAUUUACUGGGCGUAAAGAGCGCGCAGGCGGUCGAUCAAGUCGAGUGUGAAAGCCCCCGGCUCAACUGGGGAGGGUCAUUCGAUACUGAUCGACUCGAAGGCAGGAGAGGGUAGUGGAAUUCCAGGUGUAGCGGUGAAAUGCGUAGAUAUCUGGAGGAACACCGGUGGCGAAGGCGGCAUCCUGGACCGACACUGACGCUGAGGCGCGAAAGCUAGGGGAGCAAACAGG
This 253-nucleotide ribosomal RNA is filed under the name uncultured bacterium. Its description in RNAcentral is "partial 16S ribosomal RNA". It matches the Rfam family "Bacterial small subunit ribosomal RNA", at positions 524 to 776 of the family's 1533-position model. The record is from RNAcentral.